Long non-coding RNA from Canis lupus familiaris (dog), 3557 nucleotides. RefSeq lists it as uncharacterized. The transcript has 3 exons. Lineage: Eukaryota; Metazoa; Chordata; Mammalia; Carnivora; Canidae. The record is from RefSeq and is a predicted model, not a curated record.
CCGGGGACCGCGGCCGUGGCUCGGGUCCCGGGCCUCGGACACCUAGGACCUGCGGCCCCGACGCCCUGGCGGUGUCAGGCGCCCGCACCCCUUCCGAGUCCCGGGAAGAGGAGGUGUUUCCCAAGGAGCUAGCGCCCGCGCGUACUCGGGGGCCGGGGACGAGCGGCCCUGGCCCUGUCCUGCGCCCACCCCCACGCCCCGGGGCUCCGGGCCUUGCCUCAGAACCGCGUCCAAGCACCCGACGGCGGGUGGCUAGCGCGGGGGGUGCCUCGAUCUGCGGCCCGCACGCGGGCGGCCUCCCAGGUACGGGCUGGCGAGAGGAUGCCGCAAGGCGAUGAGCACCUGGAGACCGGCCAGCGUCCUCCGCCGGCCAAACCUGGUUUUGUUCCCCGCGGCCUUUCUUGGAACGCGUUAUUUGGUGGCACUGUCCCAUUACGGAAUAUACCUGCAUGGACCUCCCCUCCCUAACCCCGGCUGCGAGUCUGGGGUUUUCUGCACCGCUUGGGAAGAUCAAAGUUUUGUUUAUAGUAUUCUUCCUUCUUGAGUGGAAAUUGUUUCCUCCAGGCGAAACAGGAAGCGAGGUGUAGGGGGGAAAGCGCCUCCGUUCACGAAAUCCACUCUGCCGGGCAGUGCCAAGAGCCGACUGGCACCUCCCCACCCCCUCGCCCCUCAAUACUCCCCUCGUAUCCAGCACCUACUGCAAGCCUGACAUUUUGCAGGGCAGCCCGGAGAGCCCGGCAGUCUGUGGGUCUCGCCGACCGGACGGCUGGGCGUCCCAGGCUGCGCCCAGGUCCGCAAGCCCCACAACUCCGAGUCCACGCCCAGUCCUUUCCAGUACCCACUCUCAUUCCGCCCCCGCGCUUUCGAAACGGCGUCGGACCCGCUCGAGAGCUUUCCAUGUCUCUUGUGUGGAAAGUGAGUUGCUGUUCCGAGCCAAAGGAGGCCUAUGAACACUGCGGACAGGCCUCGGCUAGCUUAGGUGAAGCGCAGGGCCCUCCGCGUGGGGCCCUAACUCCGGUCUGGGAUUUCUCGGUGCUUCCGGCCAGGCAGGGACCGGGGCUGAUAAAGUGACUGACAAGUGGCUGAGCCCAUCAGCAAGAGUGAGCCCAAACCAGCAAAUAAAACGGCCAGCACGGGCUGAGUCGGCACUAAAUUGCCACCCCCGAAUGACUUUAGCUACUGGAGUGCCGUGACGUGAAUGACGCGGGAUGCAGGCCGAGCCCUGGAGCCGUCCCGGAGGCCCCGGAGGUGGCGGGCGGUGAGGGCGUCCCCAGCAGCCGGAGGAGAGGAACCUUUCCGAGCGCCGGGGCUUUUCUGGCCUGGGAGGGAGGGACUAACUCUGCAGCUCCGACCGGGGAGAGGCAACGUGCGCAGAAAACUGAAGUCUAAAGGGCUCUAGCUAGCUUCUUCUCUGGAAGCCGGCUUGUCGCCUUGUUGUCUCUAAUGUAGGGCCUGAGUCACGGCAGCUGCUGAUUGACAGACCUGCUUGGCCGCACUCACCAUCUGGAGGUGGAUUAGGGAUGUCCCUUCGACCUAUAGAGAACACAUGGCACAGCAUUAAAUUCUGCUCUGCCCCAGCAGCACCCAUCCCAGAUGAAAUUGCAGAGGCAACAGGCCCUGGAGCCCCGGGGCCCACAUCUGACUGCCUGAAGGAAUAAGGGGCUCCUGAGGUUACUCGCAUCCAUUAUAUGUGUGUGGUGGAAAUACAACACCAUGACGUGCUCCAGUGCCUGUCUUUGCAACUCUGCAGUCGGUGGCCUCACCUUGGUAACUUAAAAUAGGCCAUGGUGUGAGUGUUCACACCACGGAAACCAGCAGAUGCUACAAACCAGGGCUGGGUUUUGAGAAGGCUGGUUGUUAAAUAGUUAGCAGCAGCACACCAUUGCCUAUUGAUACAUUUUAUGUUUUUAGGCACUUUGACACUUUUAAGGUUAUUAACUUUGUUUUUGCACCCUACUCUCACAUUUCUAAUAUUCCGUAGUACAUCUGAAUAUCUCAUUUCAAUCCAAGUAGCAAACUCUCCAACAGUGUAGGCUGACGGUGGGCUCCACCUUCUGUUAUUUGAAGCUUUCCUAUAUACUCAGCUCAGCUCCAUCCCUAUGCUAACAGCAGAGCCAGGCAGGGGAGAAGACCAUGGAAUAUUGCUCUAUAUAGUUCCCAUAAAUACACUGUAAUCAAAUACAAUCAUCUGCAUCAUCUUUUUCUUCCUGAUGCAAGUCUGGGGUGAAAGAAAGAACAUGUUUUAGUAUUAUGUGAUGUCCAGAUUCCUUUUUUUCCUCCUUUCACUUGCUGUGUGAUUUGGAAAAGCUACUUAAUCCUUAUGAGUUGUAGUUGCCUUAUUAGGAAACCAAGACGCUUAAUAAAUAUGGUUAUUAUUCCAAUGUUUGAAUGGAAAAAGUACUAAGAGAGUACAGGGGGAAAACGACACACAGAGUGAUAAAAUUUAACCUCUUCCAUCAGGGAGAAUAAAGUAGAACUUGGUGGUGGUUGGGUUUUUCUUUCACCUGAAUAGGGCUCUGUUUAGGAACAUAAACCCCGAGUCAGUGCGUGGAGAUGGUCAAAGCCAUCUUGCUGUGGUUUUUCUUUUUAACAUGCUAAAUCUUCCUGUUUUCUUUAGAGCUUCUUGUAUUAUACUUGAUUUGUCCCUUCAUAAGCCUUGUGAUAGUGGUUUCAUUUUUACCAUGUACACUGGAUUAUCCCACUGCAAAUCUCCCUGGGGUUCUUGGAAAAAUAUCUAAAACUGAUAAGAAACAGGACAUUUUUAAGGAAAAACCCAACUAAGAAAUCAUUGAAUGCUUACACAGUUUGUAGAGGUUUUCAGAAGGUCUUAACUGCCUCUUUGGAAAGGUCAAUCAAAAGGCCUAUUUUAUGUCUCAGGGAACUGCAUGGAGUAUUUAUCUUUUUAGAACACUGAGACAGACUGGCAUAAGCCUAAUUUUUGAUGUCUUGGAGGCCUGAGCUAUGAGACUUAUCAGGCAGGUUUCUCUUUUUCUAACUCAGCUGGGUUGCCAGGGACCAAACAGAAGUGGCUUGGUCCAGGAAGAAAAUGUGCUCCAUCCAGAAGGGUGAGAUCACACUGUUCCCAGAUAUGGGUCUUCAACUAGAGGCUAGUUUCCUUUGCCUUGCAGCCCCAGGGGAAGCAUUUCUGCCCAUAAGAAGGCAGCCUUCCUGUGGCUUGGUGGCAGCAGCAUUUCCAGAGGGGUGAGCAAAAGCCAGUGACAGAUGUCUCCGAGAGGGAGUAACACACAGGAAAGAAACAUGGCACAGCAAUCUCCCUUCCCUCUUGCCUUUUCAAAGGAUCUUUUCUUUCUUCUUUCUUCCUUUCCUUUUCUAAAUAAAAGAAGAUAUUAGUUAAUAUUAAGUGUGGCAAGAAGGGAAACAAGUAUGUCUGCAGCCGUGACUAUGUGUCUGAAUGUGUAGGCUUGUUAGGAUCUAAGUUCAUAGAAUGAAAUAUUAAAGUUGGCUUCACAGGACACCUGGGUGGCUCAGUGGCUGAGCAUAUGCCUUUGGCUCAGGGCGUGAUCCCAGGGUCCUGGGUCCUGGGAUUGAGUCGUGCA